UACGUAGGGUGCAAGCGUUGUCCGGAAUUAUUGGGCGUAAAGAGCUCGUAGGCGGUCUGUCGCGUCGGCUGUGAAAACCCGAGGCUCAACCUCGGGCCUGCAGUCGAUACGGGCAAACUAGAGUACUGCAGGGGAGACUGGAAUUCCUGGUGUAGCGGUGGAAUGCGCAGAUAUCAGGAGGAACACCGGUGGCGAAGGCGGGUCUCUGGGCAGUAACUGACGCUGAGGAGCGAAAGCGUGGGGAGCGAACAGG
RNAcentral lists this ribosomal RNA (253 nucleotides) under uncultured bacterium. Its description in RNAcentral is "partial 16S ribosomal RNA". It matches the Rfam family "Bacterial small subunit ribosomal RNA", at positions 524 to 776 of the family's 1533-position model. The record is from RNAcentral.